This 893-nucleotide long non-coding RNA is filed under the name Vulpes vulpes (red fox). RNAcentral's name for it is "lncRNA (ENSVVUG00000021646.1)". Lineage: Eukaryota; Metazoa; Chordata; Mammalia; Carnivora; Canidae. The record is from RNAcentral.
AUUACACCAAUCAUAGAGGAUGGCUCUUCUGGAGGGUACCUGAUUAGUGAUUUUCAUGGUUAAUAUUUUACUGCAGCAUAGCUUUGCAUUACCUUGGCCUAUACAUGUGCCAUUUCUAAUUGUUUGUAUAUAACAGUCCAGAGUUUUGUUUUUGGAAAGCCUGUGAAACUAAAAACAAGCUCAGAGGAAAGAGUACAUGAUCAGUUUGGUGUCUACAUUGAACAAGAGGGAAGAGUGUCCUCCAUGUAUCUGCCGACUGUGAGAUCCUGGCCUAGUGCUAUCCUAUAUAACUUCUGACUGCUGGGAGAAACUCAAAGUUUAGGUGAUGCUGUAAAGCAGACAACCAAGCUUGAAAAGGAAUUUGGGAGUUGAGGAGGAGAGAAUUCAGUGAGAUAGUCCCUGUAAAUACAUUGUACAUUACCUGGACACAUGCAGUAGUUCUGAUAUUGUAUUAUUAUUACCUGGCUAGCUCCUCUGGCAUCCUUAAGAAUCUUCACUAUGACACUGAUGGAACCACAGAGUCCAUGAUAUUGCACCAGAUGCAACCUAGUGCAAAGUCUGGGGGAUGGAGAGAGUGUGGUGAAUGGAGCUUAUUCCCUCAACAUUAAUGAAUCCAUAGUUUUAGACUGUCUCCAAAAUAGGAGCAUAUAUUCACAUCCAUCAAGACCACCUAAUCCCAUCUGAGCUGCCAGAAUGACAAACGCUGCAUGAAUGACCCCAGACUAGACCAACAGAAGACCAUUCACUUCAACCUACCUCAAAUUGCUUAUCCACGGAAUUAUGAGUAAACAAAAUGGUUGUUUUAAAUCACUGGGUUUGUGGUGGUUUGUUAUACAAAAAAUAGAUUAGUAAUAUAAUUUGUUAAACAGUAAUUAAUGAGUGUUUAAUAUGGG